GUCAGGAUGGCCGAGUGGUCGAAGGCGCUACGUUCAGGUCGUAGUCCACUCUGUGGGCGUGGGUUCGAAUCCCACUUCUGACA
This 83-nucleotide transfer RNA is filed under the name Megaselia scalaris. RNAcentral's name for it is "tRNA-Leu for anticodon CAG". It matches the Rfam family "tRNA". From Rfam's summary of the family: Transfer RNA (tRNA) molecules are approximately 80 nucleotides in length. Their secondary structure includes four short double-helical elements and three loops (D, anti-codon, and T loops). Lineage: Eukaryota; Metazoa; Arthropoda; Insecta; Diptera; Phoridae. The record is from Rfam by way of RNAcentral.